Molecule: long non-coding RNA, 1621 nt
Filed under: Olea europaea (common olive)
Lineage: Eukaryota; Viridiplantae; Streptophyta; Magnoliopsida; Lamiales; Oleaceae
Description: long non-coding RNA (OEUR_LNC008330)
Source: RNAcentral
UAAAUCCCACCAAUCAUUCUGUACUCUAGGAGGUUUAGGUGGUUGAUUGCUAAUAUGAGAAUGUAGGGUCAUGCUAGCUACUGAUUUUAGCUCAGGAAUUUGUAAUUUUGAAGGUAUAUUGGUGCCCAUAUAUCAUAUGCACUACAUAUAUUCAUUGUCAAAGAAAGGUGAUGGUUUUUCUGUAAAUUUAUCAUGUCCUCAGAGCUGACGUUGAGAUGAUACAUCUGUAAAUAUUGUUUCGAUAACUUGAUGUCUUCAAUUGCAAGGAAUUAUGAAAACUCUUGUGUGCUUAUUAUGAUGCUAUAACAUAUCAUGCCUUGAAAAUUUACACUCUAAUGGAAGUGAUUGCAAGGUUAAAUCCAUAGACUAGAAGCAAGAAAAGAAAACUAAUGAGAUGGACGAGUUGAAGAGUGACAAAGUUAGGGAGAUUUUUUUUCAUAGUUUCAUUUCGGAGGUAAAACUCACCAUCUUUUCGCAUUCUUUCUAAUGUUGGCUAUUAUAUAAACCUGUGAAAAGUUGUAGAUAACAUUGUCAUGUCAUGUAACACUAUUUAAUAAAAAACAGUGAUCAGUAUUUAUACUUACAAAAGUACAAAAAUGAAGAUUGGACAGGUUCUCUUUGUUAUUUUAUAGUUCAACCUUUUUGCCAAACAUUUAUAAUUCACUAGGCUGUUGGCCAUUUUCCGACUUUAUAAUUACAUUAAAGGAAGCCAGCCAUGGGCAGUCUUUAUAUGGGGAUUUUUCGGCUCCAUCCUUUUCUGUCUCUGUGUUUUUUGGAAGACCCAAGGGUGGAGGAAAUGGGGGCAUGUUUGUUAACAAGCCAGAGUUUGAGGGCUAGAUGAUGCACUUUUGACCUGUGAAAAGUUGUGUGAGUCAGCUAUUGAGUACAUCUGAAUAUUAAAUUAGAGUUGUGAUUCGUUGUUCAAUUCACAAUAUAUUGGUGUUGUCUAGUGCCUUCUAUAUAUGUGGGCAUACGGAAAACGCAGUCUCAACAUCCACAUACCCUGAAAGGAAAGGGGAAAACAAGAAAAGGGAAAGUAAAACAGAGACCUUUCCUUGCCUUGAACAAGAUCAAGGCAAAAUGUCAGGUUUGUUCCAAUGUGAAGUGGCCCCCUCAAAUCUUAUAACAUUACCAAAUUGAGAAGAUCAGGGUUAGUUGAAUAUGGUGCCUAUGAAAAUGUGUCGGCGUGGUUUGUUAAGUAUUCGAGUCAUCAGUUGUUCAGAAUAGAACAAGCUAGAGGAGAGAGCAAUAGAUUUUGCGUAGAUCAAUAUCAGUUGGCUGAAGUGGAAAAUCCAUUUUGAUCAUCAUUAGGUUACAAUUUUGGCCACAGAGAACGAGGGAAAAUUGAUGAUCCAGAUUCCUAGUAGGGGAAGCAAGCAAAGUAGAUUCUUUUAAAUCUUGGGUAUAUUAUUUAAUUGGUCAUUUUCAUGCUUUUGCAGGUUUCCCACUCCGACCAUAAAAAAAUGUGGGAUGUCUUCGUUUAUCCUCUUUUGAAUCUCAAACUAAUGAAGUUUUUUACCCUACGUUCGUGACAGUUUGUUCCUUCAAUAGUUUCUGUAGUUAAUCCUUUUUACAUAGUAACAUGGAAGUUUCUCAUCCUUGCCUUCUCUUGAAACUUNNN